CCCCAAACUGGGAACCCCAAAACUGGGACCCUAUGGGACUGGGAUCACCUGAAACUGGGACACCCCCAAACUGGGAUCCCCCCCAAACUGGGAUCCCCCCCAAACUGGGACCCUAUGGAACUGGGACCCCCAAACUGGGACCCCCCCAAACUGGGAUCCCCCCCAAACUGGGACCCUAUGGGACUGGGAUCACCUGAAACUGGGACACCCCCAAACUGGGAUCCCCCCAAACUGGGAUGCUAUGGGACUGGGAUCCCCCAAACUGGGACACCCCCAAACUGGGAUCCCCCCCCAAACUGGGACCUUGUGGGAUUGGGACCCCCAAACUGGGACCCCCAAACUGGGAUCCCCAUAUCUGAGACACCCCCAAACUGGGACCCUGUGGAACUGGGACCCCCAAACUGGGAUCCCCCCCAAACUGGAACCCCCCGUGCAACUCUUGGCCCCGCCCCCUUUGCUUAAGCCCCGCCCCUCGCUCAAACCACGCCCACCCGGGGUCGCCGCAAAGCCCCGCCCCCCCUCGGUGGGCGUGGCCUCCAGCUCACGUGACGCGCUCAAGCCCCGCCCUCCUGGCUAAGCCCCGCCCCCUUCGCUGUGUAAGCUCCGCCCCCUCGCAAUAAAGCGCUGCUGCUGCUGCU
This 638-nucleotide long non-coding RNA is filed under the name Numida meleagris (helmeted guineafowl). Its description in RNAcentral is "lncRNA (ENSNMEG00000003882.1)". The record is from RNAcentral. Lineage: Eukaryota; Metazoa; Chordata; Aves; Galliformes; Numididae.